This 433-nucleotide long non-coding RNA is filed under the name Brachypodium distachyon (stiff brome). RNAcentral describes it as "long non-coding RNA (BDIS_LNC005258)". Lineage: Eukaryota; Viridiplantae; Streptophyta; Magnoliopsida; Poales; Poaceae. The record is from RNAcentral.
CCAAAUCUGAUCUGAAUCUGGCUGCCUCCCUUUGAAGCAAGCAUUGCACGCACCAAGCUUGUGGUAUUGUCCAGUGCUACAGCAACCAUAUGUCUAUGCCUAUAUAUUCGUGGACUAGCUAAGUAAAACACCAUCCCUCCGUCCACAAAAUCACAAAACAUUUCUGAGCAACGUACCUGAGAUCAGAACCAAGAACCAGCCAUGAUCCAUCCUAAGAAGCUUGCUCAAUUGAUGAGGAAGUGGCAAAGGGUCAAGACAACUGCCGGUGAAGACGAUGAAACAUGCUGCACAACCUCAUCGGUCGCAGAUAAGGGCCCCUUCGCCAUGUACACGGUUGAUGAGAGGCGUUUUGAGAUCCCUUUGCCUUACCACGGCACGACAGUCUUCGGCGAGCUACUGCAUAUGUCCCACGAGGAGUUUGGGUUCACAGCUG